Molecule: ribosomal RNA, 470 nt
Filed under: Termitomyces cylindricus
Lineage: Eukaryota; Fungi; Basidiomycota; Agaricomycetes; Agaricales; Lyophyllaceae
Also listed under: 1 other name
Description: partial large subunit ribosomal RNA
Rfam family: Eukaryotic large subunit ribosomal RNA
Source: RNAcentral
UUGACCUCAAAUCAGGUAGGACUACCCGCUGAACUUAAGCAUAUCAAUAAGCGGAGGAAAAGAAACUAACAAGGAUUCCCCUAGUAACUGCGAGUGAAGCGGGAAAAGCUCAAAUUUAAAAUCUGGUAGUCUUCGGCUGCCCGAGUUGUAAUCUAGAGAAGCAUUAUCUGCGCUGGACCGUGUACAAGUGUCCUGGAAUGGACCAUCAUAGAGGGUGAGAAUCCCGUCUUUGACACGGACUCCCAGGGCUUUGUGAUGUGCUCUCAAAGAGUCGAGUUGUUUGGGAAUGCAGCUCUAAAUGGGUGGUAAAUUCCAUCUAAAGCUAAAUAUUGGCGAGAGACCGAUAGCGAACAAGUACCGUGAGGGAAAGAUGAAAAGAACUUUGGAAAGAGAGUUAAACAGUACGUGAAAUUGCUGAAAGGGAAACGCUUGAAGUCAGUCGCGUUGGCUGGGGAUCAACCUUGCUUUUU